Molecule: ribosomal RNA, 787 nt
Filed under: uncultured bacterium
Lineage: Bacteria
Description: bacterial SSU rRNA
Rfam family: Bacterial small subunit ribosomal RNA
Source: RNAcentral
AGAGUUUGAUCCUGGCUCAGGAUGAACGCUAGCGGGAGGCCUAACACAUGCAAGUCGAACGGGAUUGGUAGCAAUACCAUGAGAGUGGCGCACGGGUGAGUAACGCGUAUGCAACCUACCUUUAACUGGGGGAUAGCCCGGAGAAAUCCGGAUUAAUACCGCAUAAGAUUGUUGAUCGGCAUCGUUUAACAAUUAAAACUCAGGUGGUUAAAGAUGGGCAUGCGUGACAUUAGCUAGUUGGUAAGGUAACGGCUUACCAAGGCUACGAUGUCUAGGGGUUCUGAGAGGAUGAUCCCCCACACUGGUACUGAGACACGGACCAGACUCCUACGGGAGGCAGCAGUGAGGAAUAUUGGUCAAUGGGUGCAAGCCUGAACCAGCCAUGCCGCGUGAAGGAUGAAGGUCCUAUGGAUUGUAAACUUCUUUUAUACGGAAAAAAACCCCCGGACGUGUUCGGGGCUGAUGGUACCGUAAGAAUAAGGAUCGGCUAACUCCGUGCCAGCAGCCGCGGUAAUACGGAGGAUCCAAGCGUUAUCCGGAUUCACUGGGUUUAAAGGGUGUGUAGGCGGGGCAUUAAGUCAGUGGUGAAAUCCUACAGCUUAACUGUAGAACUGCCAUAGAAACUGAUGCUCUUGAAUGUAGUUGAGGUAAGCGGAAUGUGUGGUGUAGCGGUGAAAUGCUUAGAUAUCACACAGAACACCAAUUGCGAAGGCAGCUUGCUAAGCUAUGAUUGACGCUGAGACACGAAAGCGUGGGGAUCAAACAGGAUUAGAUACCCUGGUAGUCC